This is a non-coding RNA of Sus scrofa (pig), 3745 nucleotides long. The record is from RefSeq and is a predicted model, not a curated record. NCBI's taxonomy places the organism in Eukaryota, Metazoa, Chordata, Mammalia, Artiodactyla, Suidae.
UUCCCUAUGCCACAGGUGUGGCCCUAAAAAGAGUAAAAAAAGAAAAAGAGAAAGAAAAAAAAAAAAAGAAAACAACUCUAGUGGCCAGACACUAAGCAGCUGCAGUGUGGCCUUCCUAGUUAGCUGUCAAUUAGAUGCCAUUUACUUGUGCUAAACUCUCCCCUCAAGACUGAAUGAUGGUUUAAUAGGGUGCUGGGUAGGAUUUGACCUUAUUGCCCUGGAAAAGAGGACACGCAUCUAACUCUGUACCUCUCUGAGCCAAGAAAUUACUGUUGGGACAGUAAUUACUGUCUUGACCCUUCUGUCUUCCCACUGUUUGGUAGGGCAAGAAUAUAUGGUUUCUUAGGGCCUAAGUGGAGACUCACAAGUUAGAAGGACUGGAACCCCAGUGAGGAAGGCCACCCGCCGGGCAAGGGGACCUCUGAGGAAGAGGUUGUAGGGUAACCACAGGGACUGGAGCAGGACUCAGAAGAGGUCAAGGAAAGUGUUCUCCGCUGAUGAAGAGCUGUGACAUAGGGAGGUCUUCCCGUUCCUGGGGGAAUCCUGAAGGAUGCAUGCACAUCCCCAGGGGGAACCCACUGGCCACAGAGAGCCUCACAUCCAGACAGACCCAGGCUGAAAAGCCCCAGCAGAGAAGAGGAUAGCAGCAGUGCCUUCCAUGUAAGGGGCCAGGGUCUCAUUCCUUCCUCCUCAGCCCAGGACACCCAGCCCUGGGGAGGGGAAGAAAUGUGUGUCAGGUUGACUCUAAGCAGCACUGAUUUUCUCUUAUAUCCCAAAGGAGCAGGGAGCCCUCCUCCAGGAAGGUGACCAGCAUCAGGAAGGGGCACAGUUGAAGGAGGUGAUCAGAAAAAAACACAAGUGGUGUUUUCUGUGCGUGCCCUGCCUUGUGGCGGUCUUUCCAUAGCCGCUCGCAGUUACUGAGCAUCCUAAGCCCAGCUGCUGAGGCCCCCCCUUCACUCAAAGCCAGUCAUUUCCCCACAUUCGCCUCCCCCAUUCAAGCGCCCCAGCCAAGUCCUUCUGCACAAGAGCUGUUAGAGGUCUGUAUGGUUCCACUGCUGCAAACGUGGGAAGUAGUUCACCGCGAGGCUGAGAGAGGAAGGUUUGCAGAAGACUUUUUUCAACUUUUUCAAAUUUAACUACUGAGUCACAUUCCUGUCAUUCCACUGAAUGUGCCUACCACUCCCUGAGGCUGGCGUGAGUUUAGAAGGCUUCUGGCUGGGAGCACCACACUUCGUUUCUGCCCAGAUGGACAUGUCAACAGGGCCAUGGGGUCAAGGACAACAGGUGGGAAGCAGAUCUCUCUGGCCUUGGCCUUCUCGUCUGCUACCACACCCCCGCUCUGCCCAGAAGAAGCCUGACAAAGGACCCAGGGCUUCCAUUGCACUCGGGUACCGCAUCCCACAUUAGUAAGACCUCAUCCGCCUUCUGCUCCUAUGAUGGCCACAAGCAUUGCAGAAAUUCACACCCUCUCUAAUGCGGCGAAUGUUAGGUCUUAGGAUACAACAGUGAACCAGACCAGGCCUGCCGUCAUGGAGAGGGAAAGAAACAGACCGAGAAGUGAACACAUACAAACAAGCACGAGGCUCAGAAGAGGGUGUCCGAGGGGUAAAAUGGAGAUCCAAGGACUCAUUCCUGGGGCAUGCCAACAUUGCCAGGAAGAACUACUCCUGAAGAGCAGCCAGCAAAGGGGAGAACAAAGGAGUAGCCAGUGAGGUGAAGGAAAGCCUGGAGAGUAUGUAGUCAUGGACUUAAGAGAGGAAAAUGUUUUCUUUCACCUGAGUUGAAAGCUGAUGAGCAAAAAAGCAAAAUGAGAACAAAGUCAUGGCUCCUGGAUUUGGUCACAUGGUGCUCAUCAGUGAACUUGACAAGUGAUGCCUUCGUGGACAGAUUAUGAGAUGGGCAAGUGAAAGCGUGAGUACAGAUGACUCUUGCAAGGAGUUUGGCUGCCAAUGAGGGAGGAAAAAAGUAUGACAUCUGGAAGGGAUAUGGAAUCAGGUAAACCUUACACCCUUGUGGCUGGAUCCAGUGCCUGUGUGAUCCACAGUUGUAGUCCAAGGGGAACAGCCAGACCAUAGAGUUUUUUCUUUGUUCUGGGGUGAACUUUGACCUGGAGCAGCUCUGGGCUAGGAGCCCAUCUUGCCCACUUGGUGCCAGAGCAUGCAGCUUACCGUGAUGUAACUGCCCGCAUCUGCCUCUCCUCAGCAGCCCAGGCGGGCCCAAGGAUGAGCAGAGCAGAACAGAGGACUGAACUUCAUUUGCUGUGGCACUGGCACAGAGGGAAGGACCUGGGCACUGAAAAAAGAGAUAAGGAGUUGGGAGGGCUGCACCGCAGUGGAUUUGAGGCUGGACAGGAAUGAAAGUGAAGGAUGAGGGAUAGUAGAGUACCAGCAGCCAGCAUGGUGGGAAGAAGAGCAUGCGUGCUGGACAGUCGUAAGGCCAUGUUUGUGGAGGAUGUGAAAGAGUAAGGGCAAUGGAAGGGAAGAACCAGGUCACAGAAGUGAUUGACUUGAAGCGGAGGGCAGGAACAGGGUCCCAAAGGACCAGGUCAUCCUGGAAACUGCCCCAGGAUGAUGCUGGUACCUGGACUGGGAGAAGCCCUAUAAGCUGGUCUGUGCCAUCGCAUGUGUCAUGAUAAUGUUUUGAAAUACUAACCUCCGUCUGAGCUGUGUUGUUUCUUAGCUCAUGCUACAAAGAGAAAAUCCCAAACUCCAGCCCAAAGCUCUUUCCAGACCCGUGAAAGAAGCCACGUGAGGGAUGGUCAACAUUCACCGACCAUCAUGGGCAAGAUCUAUCCAUGGCUGACUCUGGGACCUCUAGCUGGGCUGACUCUUGGGAAAAGAGACUUGGCUUGGAUUUGGCUGGACUUAUGUCAUGGAGGUGGCAGGGGGAUGUCUAUAACAGCUCAGGGGGUGGAAAGGAUCUUGGCCAUCCAUUCCCUGGACACUAGAAGGGAGCCCCAAAAUGACAACACGUGAUAAGUAAAAGUGAACGAGUGAUCAGCUAAUGAGUGAUCAAUACUGAAACCCAAUUUCCAAAAAUGCAGCAGCAGAGGUUCGAGGAAAAGAAAAAAAAGAAAGAAAGAAAGCCAGAUUAGGAAGGAUUGAGUCAAAUCAGCGAGUAACCUCUCUAUCGCUUCAGGGGAGGCCUGGCCAUGAGAGCACCUUGACUCAUGGGAAAAACACUGUAAUCAGGAUCAAUAUGAUUUUGCGGGGGAGGGAUUAGAGAAAGACCUAUAAGAUGUUCCUUUGCCUGGACUUUUCUUUCCUCCCACUGCUCAUCCUGUGUUAUCUGGAUUCACACCCACUUUUGCUCUCAUGGCCCUUUCCCAGCGUCCCCUCACCUCCAUCCUCAGAGCAGCCAGCCCACCGCUACCCAGCCUGUCUUCAUCUACCGCCACCUCCUACGCACGUCCCGCUCCCAUUCUUUGAAAAAAGAUCACUUUUUUUUUUCAUUCUAGCUACAAAUGUAAUAUAUGUUCCUUACCAAAAAUUUGGAAAAGUACCAAAAAGAAUCUAAAAACCAUCCUCGGUCUCAAACUCAGAGGCAGUCACCUUCUCUUGACAAAUCAGUUUGUGUCCUUUCUGAUUCCCUUCCAACCACAUCUUUUUUUUUUUUUUUUUUAGUUUGCACCAUGCUUACGUCGCAAUUUAUAAAUUUUGUAAUGGAAUGUAGAUUUUUACAAGAAUAAGAGUGUUAUCUAUUUUGUUCACUGUUGUUCAGUAGCAUGUGGUAACCACAAUAAAUA